This is a long non-coding RNA of Gallus gallus (chicken), 1465 nucleotides long. The record is from Ensembl. NCBI's taxonomy places the organism in Eukaryota, Metazoa, Chordata, Aves, Galliformes, Phasianidae.
CCGCUCCCCGCCAUCACGUACCUGCGCUCCCGCACCCCGCGCUCUGCGCGGUCCCGCCGUCUCCAGCCGCUCCGAGAAGUCAGCCGGCGUCACCCAGGAGCGCCCGUCCCGAUGGAUUCGUACGAACGGAACUCGAUGUCUCGCUGUGCAGGCUGGAAAGAAGCGAUAGAGGCCAAUUAAAAAAGAAAAAAAAAAAACACAACGCGAGUGUUGCAUUGAAGUUCCUCUGCAACAGUUCGUAUAUUUCUAUCCUCUCCCUUCCCCCAAAGUCCGAGAGCAGAGCAAAGUGAACGCUCACAACACCGAGGGACAGAGGCUGCUCCCGGCUCUGUCUCUUCAGGACGUGUCCUCUCUAUCCACCCUCCUCCUUCAACACUUUCCAGCACCGCUUUAUCCACUGACAGCUGUGUGUUUGGGGAUGAGGACUAUCUCUCACAUAGCACAAAGGGAUUACUGCAAUACAAGUCCCACCAUUGCAGAGAAUUCUUGUUGUUUUCCAAUCAGCUUUUAGUUAAUGUACUACACGCACCUGUUAUUUUUUCUUUUGCCCUUUUAAAACUGAUAUUUUAUAUAAAACUCCUGAACUCCAGAGGAACUGGCAGCACUUCACAAACCACAACCUGAGUCUUUCCAAGCGGUGAGAACUCCAAUCUCAAUCCAGAAGAACAGUCGAGCACAGGCCCAGCUCCAAGCACCUGCAUCUAUGGGCUUGACAGCUCCUGUCCUUCCCCAGAGAGACACAAAGAGCAUGCUGCGCUACAACAGAGGCCAGGAAAGAGCUAAAAGCUCUGCAUGAAAGAGGCCAGGAAAACCAAGGAGAGUAGAAAGAUACGGUUUUAUUAUCAUUUGAAAGAGUCCUAUUGUAAAGUGAGCGCGACUCAGCUUUCCUAGAAGGGCUGAACUGCAUUGGCUCUGACUGUGGAGCCUACAAAGUGAGAACGGAGCAAAUAUGAGAGCUGCCUGCCGAGCUACCAUCACAAAGAAGACUUAAGCAUAAUGGCAAAUAAGCUAUAAACAGCAGAAGAUUACAAGUCUGCCUAUCGGAAAGGGAGGACCUGGAAGAGCCUUUCUGUGGGAACACUGGAGACAAAACCAAACCAACCGGACCUUGCUAUGUGUUACAUGAUGUGAUGCACGAAACAGCAGAGGAAUGAAUCUGGUGACUCAGCCCUAUUUCAGUCACACAAUGGGAUUUUGGCCUCACUACUACAGAGAGAGUCACCGAGCCCAGGGUCCAGAAGGGGAGGCCACAGUAGCACAGGCUGAAAGCAAGCGAAGAGUGAGAGAAGGGAGCGCUGCUCCUCUUUCUGUUCCUGCAUGAUUCAAGGCUGAAUUACCCUUUCCCAGACAGCUGCAGCCCUUGAGCUAGAGCACAGUUGAUGCUGCAGCUGCAAGGCAAGAAGCCCAGAGCCUGGUAGAGCAGCAGUGCAGAUGCUGUGCACCACGCUCCCUUCCUACAGAGCCC